This 368-nucleotide ribosomal RNA is filed under the name uncultured bacterium. RNAcentral's name for it is "bacterial SSU rRNA". It matches the Rfam family "Bacterial small subunit ribosomal RNA", at positions 29 to 414 of the family's 1533-position model. The record is from RNAcentral.
AACGAACGCUGGCGGCAUGCCUAACACAUGCAAGUCGAACGGGAUCCUGACUUCGGUCAGGUGAGAGUGGCGGACGGGUGAGUAACGCGUGGGAACCUGCCCAGUGGUGGGGAUAACUGCGGGAAACUGCAGCUAAUACCGCAUGAGCCCGAGAGGGGAAAGAUUUAUCGCCAUUGGAGGGGCCCGCGUUCGAUUAGGUAGUUGGUGAGGUAACGGCUCACCAAGCCUUCGAUCGAUAGCUGGUCUGAGAGGAUGAUCAGCCACACUGGGACUGAGAUACGGCCCAGACUCCUACGGGAGGCAGCAGUGGGGAAUAUUGGACAAUGGGGGGCAACCCUGAUCCAGCAAUGCCGCGUGAGUGAUGAAGG